UAAGCGGAGGAAAAGAAACUAACAAGGAUUCCCCUAGUAACUGCGAGUGAAGCGGGAAAAGCUCAAAUUUAAANUCUGGCGNUCUUUGGCCGUCCGAGUUGUAAUUUAGAGAAGCGUCUUCCGCGCUGGACCGUGCACAAGUCUCCUGGAAUGGAGCGUCAUAGAGGGUGAGAAUCCCGUCUUUGGCACGGAUGCCUGGUGCUUCUGUGAUGCGCUCUCGAAGAGUCGAGUUGUUUGGGAAUGCAGCUCAAAAUGGGUGGUGAACUCCAUCUAAAGCUAAAUAUUGGCGAGAGACCGAUAGCGAACAAGUACCGUGAGGGAAAGAUGAAAAGCACUUUGGAAAGAGAGUGAAACAGUACGUGAAAUUGUUGAAAGGGAAACGCUUGAAGUCAGUCGCGUCGACCGAGACUCAGCCUUGCCUUGGCUUGGUGUACUUCUCGGCCCGACGGGUCAGCAUCAAUUUUGCCCCUCGGAUAAUGGCAAGGGAAAGGUGGCACCUUUACGGGUGUGUUAUAGUCUCCUGUCGAAUGCGAGGGGUGGGAUUGAGGAACUCAGCGCGCACCUCAGUGUCGGGGCUUCGGCCCACGUCACGCGCUUAGGAUGCUGGCGUAAUGGCUUUAAACGACC
This 627-nucleotide ribosomal RNA is filed under the name uncultured Russulaceae. RNAcentral's name for it is "LSU rRNA". It matches the Rfam family "Eukaryotic large subunit ribosomal RNA", at positions 47 to 649 of the family's 3401-position model. The record is from RNAcentral. Lineage: Eukaryota; Fungi; Basidiomycota; Agaricomycetes; Russulales; Russulaceae.